RNAcentral lists this ribosomal RNA (253 nucleotides) under uncultured bacterium. Its description in RNAcentral is "partial 16S ribosomal RNA". It matches the Rfam family "Bacterial small subunit ribosomal RNA", at positions 524 to 776 of the family's 1533-position model. The record is from RNAcentral.
GACGUAGGGCGCGAGCGUUGUCCGGAUUUAUUGGGCGUAAAGAGCUCGUAGGCGGUUUGUCGCGUCUGCUGUGAAAUCCCGAGGCUCAACCUCGGGUCUGCAGUGGGUACGGGCAGACUGGAGUGCGGUAGGGGAGAAUGGAAUUCCUGGUGUAGCGGUGGAAUGCGCAGAUAUCAGGAGGAACACCGAUGGCGAAGGCAGGUCUCUGGGCUGACACUGACGCUCAUGCACGAAAGCGUGGGGAGCAAACGGG